UCAGUUGAGCUUUUCGAUUCCGAUCGGUUCGUUCAGUUACUAAAGUUAGUUCCAACCAAACGCACAAAAAGAAAUAUAUAUGUACAUAUAUUCCAAAUAUAAUCGCAAUAUUCCAAUUUUCAAAUACCGUUUCAAAUUUGUUGCAACAUUUUCCAAUUGCAUUUUCAAAUUCGUACACUGCUGUACGCACACACGCACUCUCGUGGAUAAGGACUCUGUUCUUGUUUUUUUUUAAAACUUUUUUUGACAAGUGCAGCCGCGAAAAAGGGGCAAAAGAUCCGAUCCACGAAAGAUCGGAAAGAUCUUUGCGCGAUUCGCGCGCGAUUUGCAGAAGAAGGAGCAGAGCAGAGGCCAAUAAGGAUAAAGGAUAAAGGAUACAGAUACAGGAAGUGAAUCAGUGAACAAUUAGAGACUCUUCCUCGCAUGCUCGCGCCGCAAUGUGCGUGGACUGUGUGCAAACACUGACAAAGGCCGAAUGCAGCCGCAAGAUCAGGACAGAUCCUUGCCCGCAACCCGCACCUCGCACCUUGCAACCUUGUGUGGCUUUAGUCAGAGAGUGAGAGACCCUCACUCAACCGCAACUUCAACCUCAACUUUGACCUCAGCAACUCAGCACAGACACCGUACUCAGGAAUCCACAGGAUUAAGACCCCCAGCAGCAGUAGAACGAUGCUUGCAACGGGUGGCAGGGGCAGGGGGCCAGGGGGCAAGCAGGCCAGAAAAAUGGGACAACAACAAAGGCCAAAUGAAGAGACAGAGAGAGAGAGAGGGAAACACGCACACAACCACAAAACGAGAUGCGGGGGCUCAAAAUCCCCAGUCUACGACUAGCCUCUGCCUGCCCCACAGCCUGCCCCUGGCACUUUGCUGCUUUGGUUAGUUGUUAGGGCGACCGAGACCGAGACCGAGACCCACAGACCAGAGACCAGACAGAGGCGACAGGCAACAACAAUGUGCCACAUCCAACAUCCAGAUUCCCUUCCCACCCGCCAUUACCAUCCGCAUCCCCACAAAAGCCACAAAGACCGGUACCUACUCUUGCCGCACAGACACAAACACACACAUGCAACACAGUGGCAGAGUGGCAAAGUGGCAAAGUCGGGGAGUCGGGAGCCUAGGUGACGUAAUGGCUACUACUCCACUAACACAUUUUUCUGCAUUCCUGCACCGCGUGCUGCUGCCAGAGGGAGACCAGCAGCAGUAGCUGCAGCUACAGGAAGAUGGGGCAGAAAGGGGGCAGCAAGGGGGCAUGCAGCGGAGAGUCGCACGACGACGCGAGAGAAAAACUGAAUGAAAAUUGCAGCCAACGAAGCGUGUGCCUAGCGAAAAAGGGAAAAAAAGAAAAAGAAAAAAAACCGAGAAGCACGAAACUAGAGACAGAGGAAGCCAAAGACCAGAAAGCAGACUACGACAACAGAUAUAGAGAUAGAGAGAGAGAGAGAGAGAAGGAGAGGGACGACUUACACACGUGGUGGAGCCAUGGAGGAUGGUUGGAGGAUGGGGAUAGGAAUGGAUGAUGAUGAUGAUGAUGGCACUAGAAAAAGCAAAAACAAAAAAAAAACAGAGACUCGCCAAACUGGUGGCCGCCGCCUGACGAGGAGACUAGACAGGGAGACAGGUCUGAGGGAGGCAGAGAGAUAGCUCAGAGUGUAUAUGUAUAUAUUUAUGUAGUGUGUGCGUGUGUGUGUGUGUGUGUGUGUGUGGUGUGUGUGUGUGUGUGUGCGAGUGGCCGACAUUCAAGGUUGACUGCAAUUGUUGCAGCAGCCGCGGCAGCCUCUUCCUCUGCCUUCCAAUCAUGCAAUCGAGACGUGUUCCAGGAACCACAGAGAGAGAGAGUUCCAGUCCAGUGUUCCACAGAGAGGGAGACAGAGAAAGAGCGAUUAACAGUAAAGCUGAAGAAGCGAACACUAAAACAUUGCAGGGCUUCUUCCGCUGAAAAGGGACUAACGGGAAAUAGGAGAGAAAGAAAGAGAAGAAAAGAAAGGAAAGAAAAGGAAAGGAGAAGGAGAGAAGUAGAGAAGAGACUAUCCGCCCCGUUUGCCAUUUACAGUUAAUCAAAAUGACAGAAGUUGGUCGGCUCUGCAGCCUGACGGAGUUCUUCGCUGUCGCUCCCGAAGUUCUCGUGGGGGCAAUUAGAAGAAGCCUCUACCAAGAGUGGAUGAGGGGUGUGCAGAGUGUGGUGAGUGUGGUGGGGGGGCGGCGGCAGCGGCAGCGGCGGCAGUACUUCCGCUAGCCUUGGCUCUCAAUCAACAGAACAGAAGAAAGAGGCACAGCCGGCGGCCAAUUGAGGCGGUCGGUCGCACAAGUGGACACACCAUACAGAUAGAUACAGAUACACCAUUUCCUAUAAUAGCUCCCUCUCCCACCCUUUUUUGAGGUGACUCAUUCGAGAGAGAGAGGUAGUAAGAGAGAGAGGGGAGAGAGGGGGAGUGAGAGCACUUGUUUGGCUGCAACUUCAAAGCACAUCCACAUGAACAUGCACACACGUUGCAGCGACAGACAGAUGCAAUAACAAACAACUUGUACACAAAGCCAGCCAUAAUAAUAAUGAUCAUGAUCAUGAUGACGAUGAUGAUGAUGGUGCCAUUCAAGGCCACGCGACGACGACUCUGGAAGGAGAGAAGACUAGCAAAAACAAACAGAAAAAAGAGACAGAAACACACACAAAAGAAAGACAGAAACAGAAACAGCAACAGAAACAACAGCAAUAACAACCAAGUGCAUGGUUAUCGCUAUCGACAAAGUAGGCACAGAUCAUGGGGAUCAUGGAGCAGUAGUGGCAGCAGGGGAACAGUGGAAUUGUGCAAAGGGAGCAGAGGGAAUGCGAAGGCGAAUGCGAAUGCGAGGAAUAUGUAGGCUGGUCGGGCUCCAAUCGAGAGUCAAGUUCUCGGAAACGGUUACUCCAAGGCCAAGCCCUGGAGAUAGACAAACAAAUGGCAAGGAGGAGGCGGUUGAGGGACAAAGGAAGCAAAUAGGAGAGAAGUAGGGACAAAGGCAAAAGGAGGGGACAAAGACAGCACAAGAGGCAGAAGAGUGAAAAGAGGGUGAGAAGACUAGACA
Drosophila miranda is the source of this 3060-nucleotide long non-coding RNA. RefSeq lists it as uncharacterized. The record is from RefSeq and is a predicted model, not a curated record. NCBI's taxonomy places the organism in Eukaryota, Metazoa, Arthropoda, Insecta, Diptera, Drosophilidae. The transcript has 3 exons.